RNAcentral lists this unclassified non-coding RNA (338 nucleotides) under uncultured fungus. RNAcentral's name for it is "partial contains 5.8S ribosomal RNA and internal transcribed spacer 2". The stretch from base 1 to 133 matches the Rfam family "5.8S ribosomal RNA", at positions 22 to 154 of the family's 154-position model. Lineage: Eukaryota; Fungi. The record is from RNAcentral.
UGGUUCUGGCAUCGAUGAAGAACGCAGCGAAAUGCGAUAAGUAAUGUGAAUUGCAGAAUUCAGUGAAUCAUCGAAUCUUUGAACGCACAUUGCGCCCCUUAGUAUUCUGAAGGGCAUGCCUGUUCGAGCGUCAUUUCAAACCCUCAAGCUUUAUGCUUGGUGUUGGGCUAUCGUCAAAUUUUUUUUGACGUGCCUGAAACUCAUUGGCAGUAGAGUUGAAUUCUUUAGCGUAGUUAAAAAUCAAUUUCGCUCUGGUAGUUUAGGCACUUCUCGCCAAAUUUAACACAAUUUUUUUUUUUUAUGAUUUUGACCUCGGAUCAGGUAGGGAUACCCGCUGA